CCUACGGGGGGCAGCAGUGAGGAAUAUUGGUCAAUGGGCUUACGCCUGAACCAGCCAAGUCGCGUGAGGGAAGACUGCCCUAUGGGUUGUAAACCUCUUUUGUCAGGGAGCAAUUGGCGCUACGUGUAGCGUUAUCGAGAGUACCUGAAGAAAAAGCAUCGGCUAACUCCGUGCCAGCAGCCGCGGUAAUACGGAGGAUGCGAGCGUUAUCCGGAUUUAUUGGGUUUAAAGGGUGCGUAGGCGGAAUGCCAAGUCAGCGGUAAAAUCGCGGGGCUCAACCUCGCUCCGCCGUUGAAACUGGCAGUCUCGAGUUGGAGAGAAGUAUGCGGAAUGCGCGGUGUAGCGGUGAAAUGCAUAGAUAUCGCGCAGAACUCCGAUUGCGAAGGCAGCAUGCCGGCUCCACACUGACGCUGAGGCACGAAAGCGUGGGUAUCGAACAGGAUUAGAUACCCUUGUAGUC
RNAcentral lists this ribosomal RNA (460 nucleotides) under uncultured bacterium. Its description in RNAcentral is "partial 16S ribosomal RNA". It matches the Rfam family "Bacterial small subunit ribosomal RNA", at positions 338 to 795 of the family's 1533-position model. The record is from RNAcentral.